RNAcentral lists this ribosomal RNA (217 nucleotides) under uncultured eukaryote. RNAcentral's name for it is "partial 18S ribosomal RNA". It matches the Rfam family "Eukaryotic small subunit ribosomal RNA", at positions 1457 to 1676 of the family's 1831-position model. The record is from RNAcentral.
CAGGUCUGUGAUGCCCUUAGAUGUCCUGGGCCGCACGCGCGCUACACUGACACACGCAACGAGUUCUCCUUGUCCGAAAGGUCUGGGUAAUCUUGUAAAUGUGUGUCGUGAUUGGGAUAGAUUAUUGCAAUUAUUAAUCUUGAACGAGGAAUUCCUAGUAAAUGCGGGUCAUCAGCUCGCGUUGAUUACGUCCCUGCCCUUUGUACACACCGCCCGU